GGAGGGUUGGCCGAGCGGUAAGGCAGCGGCUUGCUAAGCCGUCGUCAGGGUCCUCCCUGCGCGAGUUCGAUUCUCGCACCCUCCGC
Molecule: transfer RNA, 86 nt
Filed under: Actinomadura sp. NBRC 104425
Lineage: Bacteria; Bacillati; Actinomycetota; Actinomycetes; Streptosporangiales; Thermomonosporaceae
Description: tRNA-Ser
Rfam family: tRNA
About the family: Transfer RNA (tRNA) molecules are approximately 80 nucleotides in length. Their secondary structure includes four short double-helical elements and three loops (D, anti-codon, and T loops). Further hydrogen bonds mediate the characteristic L-shaped molecular structure. tRNAs have two regions of fundamental functional importance: the anti-codon, which is responsible for specific mRNA codon recognition, and the 3' end, to which the tRNAs corresponding amino acid is attached (by aminoacyl-tRNA synthetases). tRNAs cope with the degeneracy of the genetic code in two manners: having more than one tRNA (with a specific anti-codon) for a particular amino acid; and 'wobble' base-pairing, i.e. permitting non-standard base-pairing at the 3rd anti-codon position.
Source: RNAcentral